CCAGCCUUACCAAUAUUUCGGCAAAUUUUGGCAUGAUCAAAAUAAGGACAUCACCAAUAUUUCGAUAAGUAGAUGUUGUUUGGAUUGCAAACAUUGUAGGGACUAAUUUUUGGCAAAGAAAUUUAGACGAACACUUAUUUUUUGGAAUUUUUUUUUAGUGUGAACUACUUCUCAAUUCGUGAGGUACCAAACUAAGGUUAGACGUAAAUCAUGGAUUAGACAAAGGAUCACGGCAAAGUUGAAAAAGGCUGCUGGACUUUUUAUUUAAUUCAGCAAUUCAGUUGAGAAAGAGCAGUGCUCUCUAUUCAAUGCAGAGGUGGCCUUCCGUAACCAGCGAUAUGCGUGCUUAAUUAGAGGAGACGAAGGAGAAAGAAAAAAAAAGAUCGUAUGUGUUAGUUUGAGGAGAGAUUUAGGAAAACAGACUGGGCCCACCAGGGAUUAGAGAGGGCGAGCAGGGAUGCCAAUUCUUGGG
Molecule: long non-coding RNA, 472 nt
Filed under: Brachypodium distachyon (stiff brome)
Lineage: Eukaryota; Viridiplantae; Streptophyta; Magnoliopsida; Poales; Poaceae
Description: long non-coding RNA (BDIS_LNC003735)
Source: RNAcentral